UCCAUGGUGGUUCAGAUGGUAAAGCGUCUGCCUGCAAUGCAGGAGACCCAGGUUCGAUUCCUGGGUCAGGAA
Molecule: transfer RNA, 72 nt
Filed under: Ovis aries (sheep)
Lineage: Eukaryota; Metazoa; Chordata; Mammalia; Artiodactyla; Bovidae
Rfam family: tRNA
About the family: Transfer RNA (tRNA) molecules are approximately 80 nucleotides in length. Their secondary structure includes four short double-helical elements and three loops (D, anti-codon, and T loops). Further hydrogen bonds mediate the characteristic L-shaped molecular structure. tRNAs have two regions of fundamental functional importance: the anti-codon, which is responsible for specific mRNA codon recognition, and the 3' end, to which the tRNAs corresponding amino acid is attached (by aminoacyl-tRNA synthetases). tRNAs cope with the degeneracy of the genetic code in two manners: having more than one tRNA (with a specific anti-codon) for a particular amino acid; and 'wobble' base-pairing, i.e. permitting non-standard base-pairing at the 3rd anti-codon position.
Source: Rfam by way of RNAcentral